GAGUUUGCUGGGAUUUGGGCCCAUUCCUCUCAUGACUGGUUAAACUGGGAAGCAGACAGAGAGCAGCCAGAGCGAGGUAAGCUGCCACCUAAUUAAGAGGUGACUGACUCAGAGGCGUCUGAUUGAAACUAGGUCGCGUCGACCAGAAGACGUUCAAGAUGCAGAAUGAACUUCCUUCUGAUCCUGGGAAAUCAGCAGAGGCGAUGUUGCUUAGAAACAGAAAAAACAUCACGUCUCUCUGCGGCUUUAAAUGUGAUGAAUGUGACAAAUAAAACCUCAACAUGAAACUC
This is a long non-coding RNA of Poecilia latipinna (sailfin molly), 290 nucleotides long. RefSeq lists it as uncharacterized. The record is from RefSeq and is a predicted model, not a curated record. The transcript is spliced from 2 exons. NCBI's taxonomy places the organism in Eukaryota, Metazoa, Chordata, Actinopteri, Cyprinodontiformes, Poeciliidae.